AAUCAACGCUGGCGGCGCGCUUAACACAUGCAAGUCGAACGAGAAAGGGAGCAAUCCUGAGUAAAGUGGCGUACUGGUGAGUAACACGUGGAUAUCUACCUCUUGGUGGGGAAUAACCUGGGGAAACCUGGGCUAAUACCGCAUAAGUUCGUGAGAAGAAAGGCGCAAGUCGCCGAGAGAGGAGUCCGCGGUCGAUUAGGUAGUUGGCAGGGUAAAAGCCUACCAAGCCGAAGAUCGAUAGCCGGCCUGAGAGGGCACACGGCCACACUGGCACUGAAACACGGGCCAGACUCCUACGGGAGGCAGCAGUGGGGAAUCUUGCACAAUGGGGGAAACCCUGAUGCAGCGACGCCGCGUGAGCGAUGAAGCCCCUUCGGGGUGUAAAGCUCUUUUACCAGGGAUGAUAAUGACAGUACCUGGAGAAUAAGCUCCGGCUAACUCCGUGCCAGCAGCCGCGGUAAU
RNAcentral lists this ribosomal RNA (462 nucleotides) under uncultured bacterium. RNAcentral's name for it is "bacterial SSU rRNA". It matches the Rfam family "Bacterial small subunit ribosomal RNA", at positions 32 to 524 of the family's 1533-position model. The record is from RNAcentral.